GCAUGCCGCGUGAGUGAAGAAGGCCUUCGGGUUGUAAAGCUCUUUUGUCAGGGAAGAAACGGGUCUUUCUAAUACAGAGAUCUAAUGACGGUACCUGAAGAAUAAGCACCGGCUAACUACGUGCCAGCAGCCGCGGUAAUACGUAGGGUGCAAGCGUUAAUCGGAAUUACUGGGCGUAAAGCGUGCGCAGGCGGUUUUGUAAGUCUGUUGUGAAAUCCCCGGGCUCAACCUGGGAAUGGCAAUGGAGACUGCAAGGCUAGAGUUUGGCAGAGGGGGGUAGAAUUCCACGUGUAGCAGUGAAAUGCGUAGAUAUGUGGAGGAACACCGAUGGCGAAGGCAGCCCCCUGGGUCAAAACUGACGCUCAUGCACGAAAGCGUGGGGAGCAAACAGGAUUAGAUACCCUGGUAGUCCACGCCCUAAACGAUGUCUACUAGUUGUCGGGUCUUAAUUGACUUGGUAACGCAGCUAACGCGUGAAGUAGACCGCCUGGGGAGUACGGUCGCAAGAUUAAAACUCAAAGGAAUUGACGGGGACCCGCACAAGCGGUGGAUGAUGUGGAUUAAUUCGAUGCAACGCGAAAAACCUUACCUA
This 592-nucleotide ribosomal RNA is filed under the name Oxalobacteraceae bacterium Ri3Pt_6444. RNAcentral's name for it is "bacterial SSU rRNA". It matches the Rfam family "Bacterial small subunit ribosomal RNA", at positions 392 to 977 of the family's 1533-position model. Lineage: Bacteria; Pseudomonadati; Pseudomonadota; Betaproteobacteria; Burkholderiales; Oxalobacteraceae. The record is from RNAcentral.